AGAUUGAACGCUGGCGGCAUGCCUUACACAUGCAAGUCGAACGGCAGCACGGGAGCAAUCCUGGUGGCGAGUGGCGAACGGGUGAGUAAUACAUCGGAACGUGCCCAAUCGUGGGGGAUAACGCAGCGAAAGCUGUGCUAAUACCGCAUAAGAUACUACGGAUGAAAGCAGGGGAUCGGCAAGACCUUGCGCGAAUGGAGCGGCCGAUGGCAGAUUAGGUAGUUGGUAGAGGUAAGGCUCACCAAGCCUUGAUCUGUAGCGUGGUCU
RNAcentral lists this ribosomal RNA (267 nucleotides) under uncultured soil bacterium. Its description in RNAcentral is "partial 16S ribosomal RNA". It matches the Rfam family "Bacterial small subunit ribosomal RNA", at positions 26 to 294 of the family's 1533-position model. The record is from RNAcentral.